This 431-nucleotide ribosomal RNA is filed under the name uncultured bacterium. RNAcentral's name for it is "partial 16S ribosomal RNA". It matches the Rfam family "Bacterial small subunit ribosomal RNA", at positions 338 to 795 of the family's 1533-position model. The record is from RNAcentral.
CCUACGGGAGGCUGCAGUGGGGAAUUGUUCGCAAUGGGCGCAAGCCUGACGACGCAACGCCGCGUGGAGGAUGAAGGUCUUCGGAUUGUAAACUCCUGUUGCUCGGGACGCGGUACCGAGUGAGGAAGCCCCGGCUAACUCUGUGCCAGCAGCCGCGGUAAUACAGAGGGGGCAAGCGUUGUUCGGAAUUACUGGGCGUAAAGGGCGCGUAGGCGGCCUGUUAAGUCGAACGUGAAAUCCCUGGGCUCAACCCAGGAACUGCGUCCGAUACUGGCAGGCUUGAAUUCGGGAGAGGGAUGCGGAAUUCCAGGUGUAGCGGUGAAAUGCGUAGAUAUCUGGAGGAACACCGGUGGCGAAGGCGGCAUCCUGGACCGAAUGACGCUGAGGCGCGAAAGCCAGGGGAGCAAACGGGAUUAGAUACCCUAGUAGUC